This 405-nucleotide ribosomal RNA is filed under the name Bacillota bacterium. Its description in RNAcentral is "Firmicutes bacterium partial 16S ribosomal RNA". It matches the Rfam family "Bacterial small subunit ribosomal RNA", at positions 355 to 776 of the family's 1533-position model. The record is from RNAcentral. Lineage: Bacteria; Bacillati; Bacillota.
UGGGGAAUAUUGUGCAAUGGGGGAAACCCUGACACAGCGACGCCGCGUGAGCGAAGAAGGCCUUCGGGUCGUAAAGCUCAAUAGUAUGGGAAGAAAUAAAUGACGGUACCAUACGAAAGCCCCGGCUAACUACGUGCCAGCAGCCGCGGUAAUACGUAGGGGGCGAGCGUUGUCCGGAAUUACUGGGCGUAAAGAGCACGUAGGCGGCUAUAAAAGUCAGAUGUGAAAAACCUGGGCUCAACCGAGGGUGUGCAUCUGAAACUAAAUAGCUUGAGUCAAGGAGAGGGGAGCGGAAUUCCUGGUGUAGCGGUGAAAUGCGUAGAGAUCAGGAAGAAUACCAGUGGCGAAAGCGGCUCUCUGGACUUGAACUGACGCUGAGGUGCGAAAGCGUGGGGAGCAAACAGG